GAACGCUGGCGGCAUGCCUUACACAUGCAAAGUCGAACGGCAGCACGGGAGCUUGCUCCUGGUGGCGAGUGGCGAACGGGUGAGUAAUAUAUCGGAACGUACCUAGAGUGGGGGAUAACGCAGCGAAAGUUGCGCUAAUACCGCAUACGAUCUACGGAUGAAAGCGGGGGAUCGCAAGACCUCGCGCGAUUGGAGCGGCCGAUAUCAGAUUAGGUAGUUGGUGAGGUAAAGGCUCACCAAGCCAACGAUCUGUAGCUGGUCUGAGAGGACGACCAGCCACACUGGAACUGAGACACGGUCCAGACUCCUACGGGAGGCAGCAGUGGGGAAUUUUGGACAAUGGACGCAAGUCUGAUCCAGCCAUUCCGCGUGCAGGAUGAAGGCCCUCGGGUUGUAAACUGCUUUUGUACGGAACGAAAAGGUUUGUCUUAAUACGAUGAGCUCAUGACGGUACCGUAAGAAUAAGCACCGGCUAACUACGUG
This 483-nucleotide ribosomal RNA is filed under the name uncultured bacterium. RNAcentral describes it as "bacterial SSU rRNA". It matches the Rfam family "Bacterial small subunit ribosomal RNA", at positions 31 to 507 of the family's 1533-position model. The record is from RNAcentral.